RNAcentral lists this ribosomal RNA (468 nucleotides) under uncultured bacterium. RNAcentral describes it as "partial 16S ribosomal RNA". It matches the Rfam family "Bacterial small subunit ribosomal RNA", at positions 28 to 507 of the family's 1533-position model. The record is from RNAcentral.
GACGAACGCUGGCGGCGUGCUUAACACAUGCAAGUCGAACGGAAAGGCCCUGCUUUUGUGGGGUUCUCGAGUGGCGAACGGGUGAGUAACACGUGAGUAACCUUCCCUUGACUUUGGGAUAACUUCAGGAAACUGGGGCUAAUACCGGAUAGGAGCUCCUGCUGCAUGGUGGGGGUUGGAAAGUUUCGGCGGUUGGGGAUGGACUCGCGGCUUAUCAGCUUGUUGGUGGGGUAGUGGCUUACCAAGGCUUUGACGGGUAGCCGGCCUGAGAGGGUGACCGGCCACAUUGGGACUGAGAUACGGCCCAGACUCCUACGGGAGGCAGCAGUGGGGAAUAUUGCACAAUGGGCGGAAGCCUGAUGCAGCAACGCCGCGUGCGGGAUGACGGCCUUCGGGUUGUAAACCGCUUUCGCCUGUGACGAAGCGUGAGUGACGGUAAUGGGUAAAGAAGCACCGGCUAACUACGUG